Molecule: ribosomal RNA, 304 nt
Filed under: uncultured bacterium
Lineage: Bacteria
Description: partial 16S ribosomal RNA
Rfam family: Bacterial small subunit ribosomal RNA
Source: RNAcentral
CAGCAGUCGCCGCGGUAAUACGAAGGGGGCUAGCGUUGCUCGGAAUGACUGGGCGUAAAGGGCGCGUAGGCGGCGAUCAAAGUCAGGCGUGAAAUUCCUGGGCUCAACCUGGGGGCUGCGCUUGAUACUUGGUUGCUUGAGUGGGGAAGAGGGUCGUGGAAUUCCCAGUGUAGAGGUGAAAUUCGUAGAUAUUGGGAAGAACACCGGUGGCGAAGGCGGCGACCUGGUCCUUGACUGACGCUGAGGCGCGAAAGCGUGGGGAGCAAACAGGAUUAGAGACCCCCGUAGUCCCUGUCUCUUAUAC